This 253-nucleotide ribosomal RNA is filed under the name uncultured bacterium. RNAcentral's name for it is "partial 16S ribosomal RNA". It matches the Rfam family "Bacterial small subunit ribosomal RNA", at positions 524 to 776 of the family's 1533-position model. The record is from RNAcentral.
GACGUAGGGCGCGAGCGUUGUCCGGAUUUAUUGGGCGUAAAGAGCUCGUAGGCGGCUUGUUGCGUCGGCUGUGAAAACCCAUGGCUCAACCGUGGGCUUGCAGCCGAUACGGGCAGGCUAGAGUUCGGUAGGGGAGACUGGAAUUCCUGGUGUAGCGGUGAAAUGCGCAGAUAUCAGGAGGAACACCGGUGGCGAAGGCGGUUCUCUGGGCCUUACCUGACGCUGAGGAGCGAAAGCGUGGGGAGCGAACAGG